Molecule: ribosomal RNA, 498 nt
Filed under: uncultured bacterium
Lineage: Bacteria
Description: partial 16S ribosomal RNA
Rfam family: Bacterial small subunit ribosomal RNA
Source: RNAcentral
GAUGAACGCUGGCGGCGUGCCUAAUACAUGCAAGUCGAGCGAACAGACGAGGAGCUUGCUCCUCUGACGUUAGCGGCGGACGGGUGAGUAACACGUGGAUAACCUACCUAUAAGACUGGGAUAACUUCGGGAAACCGGAGCUAAUACCGGAUAAUAUAUUGAACCGCAUGGUUCAAUAGUGAAAGACGGUUUUGCUGUCACUUAUAGAUGGAUCCGCGCCGCAUUAGCUAGUUGGUAAGGUAACGGCUUACCAAGGCGACGAUGCGUAGCCGACCUGAGAGGGUGAGCGGCCACACUGGAACUGAGACACGGUCCAGACUCCUACGGGAGGCAGCAGUAGGGAAUCUUCCGCAAUGGGCGAAAGCCUGACGGAGCAACGCCGCGUGAGUGAUGAAGGUCUUCGGAUCGUAAAACUCUGUUAUUAGGGAAGAACAAAUGUGUAAGUAACUAUGCACGUCUUGACGGUACCUAAUCAGAAAGCCACGGCUAACUACGUGC